CUCGUUCUCCUCUCUCGUGCUCUUAUCUACCAGGAAAAAGGUUCUCUCAUCUAAUAACAAAUCUGACCUCUCUCGUUCUCUUCUCUUCUAGAAAAAAAGUUCUCUCAUUAUAAUAAAUCAGAACUUUGUAAAUCUAUCAACCCUUUUCCAGUAAUAAGCCCUAAUUUCUUAAACCCUAGAAAAUUACUCUAAUUUUUUACACGUUUGAGACUCAAGAAGAAGAUUCAGAGACGUGACUGCUCAAGCCCUGGUACUGGAAAAAGUUCUUUGAUUGCUUAUACUGUUUGUCAAAUCGUCGAUACUUCUACUCGAGAGUAAGUUCUGAAAAACUCAAACCUUUCUUUUUAAUUUAAUUUUGUAAUUUCAAUAUGGGUUUUUGUAUCGGGUACAAGUAUGUUUUAGGGGAUUAUGGUGUGGGGUUGUUUUGAUCUCCGGUAAUAGUUGAUACUGGUAUUAUGGCUUUGCCUGCUACUAUGAAGGUUCUUGGACUUUUCCCAGGGAUAUACUAAUGAUAAUAUUCAUGACGUUUUUGUAAUGAUAUUAUGAGUUUUCGAUCGAGAUAUUGCUGAGGUUUAGUAAAGCACGGGAAAUAGUUUCUUACGGAGAGCUUAUGGGAGACACAUUUGGAAAGUAUGUGAGGAUUGCAUUGCAGGCUUGUGUAUUUAGCAAUAGCCAUCACCGAGAUCUUUUCGAGGAAUUAGGAGGCUGCCAAAGAAGUUAGAUAAGCUAGUCGGUUAGCUGUUCACAAUGUUGGAGUGCUUAUCGUGUACAUGAUUAUCAUCGGUGAUAUAAUUUCUGGAACAUCUGCAAGUGGAACACAUCACUCUGGAUGGUUCGGUGUGCAUUGGUGGAAUGGGCGGUUCUUUGUGUUGCUUUCACCAUACUUGGUGUAUUUGCCCCACUAGCAUUCAUUAAGCGUGUGUGUAAGUUUAUUCUGUGACUUAUAUAUCAAAUAUUGAACUAAGUAUGCAUGCCUACCUUAAUCUCAUUAGACGACAAAUAUAAAUGUUUUGUUUUAUGCAGAAGCGGGAAGCAACCUUUUUGCUUUAGCUUGUCUUUCAUAACCUUUGCUUGAAGUCCUGGAUUCUGUGUCAAACAGAUUAGGUUUACAAAGUCUCUUGGUUCGAAUACUCACUGGAGAUAUGGGAACAUGUGCCGUUAGUACUUGUUUAGAGUUGGGGGAUAUCUGUAGAGAAGUUGGUCUACCUUCUGGUGUACUCAACAUUGUAACUGAAUUAAGUCCUGAAGUUGAUGCUCUCUUAACAUCUUAUCCUCAUGUUGACAAGUGCAGAGCAAUGGAUUAGGAGCAUAGAACUAAAGCUUGUGUCUGCUACUGGUCUUUUCCAAUCAGAAAAAGAGGCAUGGCAAAGAGACCUUGAGGAUGUUUAAGAAACUUGGCGAUGUGAUCUUCUCAAGCUAUUAUGCAACUUAUGUUCUUUGUAGCUUAUUUCCUAAAUCAAGCUUGGAAAAAACAAAUACCGACUCAUUGCAUAAUAUCUUGAAGUGAGGUGUAAGGCAUUAGAAACUCAAAGCGAGGUAUUUUUGGCCAGAUCUGGAGAAGGAGUUUGAAGAGCUCAAGUUACAAUAUAAAAAAAAUUAAAGCUUUCAAAGGCGUGAUGCGCAACAUGCGUCAAUUUCAAGCACAAAUGCAGCAGAGCAGCAGAUUCUGGUAUGGGAUACCAUUCAUUUAGAAACACUCAUUUUGCAUAGAACUAUUUGUGAUCAGUUAUAUUCUGAUGUCCCAAAAAAUUAUGCAGUAGUUUGCAAUGUAGCGUCUAAAUGAGUUUUGAUUAUGAAUUUUCUAGCUGAAUAGGAACUUAAAAAUCUACAUUAAUUGUAGUGUCUUUAACUGAAGUGUUUUUCAGUUUAGCUAUUCUUGUAUUGACAUCAAUAUGUAGCACUAGAACUUAAAUACGAACAGUCAGCAUUAUUGAGCCGUCA
RNA transcript from Papaver somniferum (opium poppy), 1941 nucleotides. RefSeq lists it as uncharacterized. The record is from RefSeq and is a predicted model, not a curated record. The transcript is spliced from 7 exons. NCBI's taxonomy places the organism in Eukaryota, Viridiplantae, Streptophyta, Magnoliopsida, Ranunculales, Papaveraceae.